Molecule: ribosomal RNA, 358 nt
Filed under: uncultured bacterium
Lineage: Bacteria
Description: bacterial SSU rRNA
Rfam family: Bacterial small subunit ribosomal RNA
Source: RNAcentral
GUAAUAUAUCGGAACGUGCCUAGUAGCGGGGGAUAACUACUCGAAAGAGUAGCUAAUACCGCAUACGCCCUACGGGGGAAAGGGGGGGAUCGCAAGACCUCUCACUAUUAGAGCGGCCGAUAUCGGAUUAGCUAGUUGGUGGGGUAAAGGCCCACCAAGGCGACGAUCCGUAGCUGGUUUGAGAGGACGACCAGCCACACUGGGACUGAGACACGGCCCAGACUCCUACGGGAGGCAGCAGUGGGGAAUUUUGGACAAUGGGGGAAACCCUGAUCCAGCCAUUCCGCGUGUGCGAUGAAGGCCUUCGGGUUGUAAAGCACUUUUGGCAGGAAAGAAAUCGCACAACUUAACCCCUUGU